AACGAACGCUGGCGGCAUGCCUAACACAUGCAAGUCGAACGAGACCUUCGGGUCUAGUGGCGCACGGGUGCGUAACGCGUGGGAACCUGCCUUUAGGUUCGGAAUAACUCAGAGAAAUUUGAGCUAAUACCGGAUAAUGUCUUCGGACCAAAGAUUUAUCGCCUUUAGAUGGGCCCGCGUUGGAUUAGCUAGUUGGUGGGGUAAAGGCCUACCAAGGCGACGAUCCAUAGCUGGUCUGAGAGGAUGAUCAGCCACACUGGGACUGAGACACGGCCCAGACUCCUACGGGAGGCAGCAGUGGGGGAAUAUUGGACAAUGGGCGAAAGCCUGAUCCAGCAAUGCCGCGUGAGUGAUGAAGGCCUUAGGGUUGUAAAGCUCUUUUACCCGAGAUGAUAAUGACAGUAUCGGGAGAAUAAGCUCCGGCUAACUCCGUGCCAGCAGCCGCGGUAAU
RNAcentral lists this ribosomal RNA (451 nucleotides) under uncultured bacterium. Its description in RNAcentral is "bacterial SSU rRNA". It matches the Rfam family "Bacterial small subunit ribosomal RNA", at positions 29 to 524 of the family's 1533-position model. The record is from RNAcentral.